AUCGAACGCUGGCGGCAGGCCUAACACAUGCGAGUCGAGCGGAUGAAGGGAGCUUGCUCCUGGAUUCAGCGGCGGCCGGGUGAGUAAUGCCUAGGAAUCUGCCUGGUAGUGGGGGAUAACGUCCGGAAACGGGCGCUAAUACCGCAUACGUCCUGAGGGAGAAAGUGGGGGAUCUUCGGACCUCACGCUAUCAGAUGAGCCUAGGUCGGAUUAGCUAGUUGGUGGGGUAAAGGCCUACCAAGGCGACGAUACGUAACUGGUCUGAGAGGAUGAUCAGGCACACUGGAACUGAGACACGGUCCAGACCCCUACGGUAGGCAGCAGUGGGGAAUAUUAGACGAUGGGCGAGAGCCUGAUCCAGCCAUACCGCGUGUGUGAAGAAGGUCUUCUGAUGGUAAAGCACUUUAAGUUGGGAGAGAGUGCAGUAAUUUAAUACCUUGCUGUUUUGACGUUACCAACAGAAUAAGCACCGGCUAACUUCGUG
Molecule: ribosomal RNA, 484 nt
Filed under: uncultured bacterium
Lineage: Bacteria
Description: partial 16S ribosomal RNA
Rfam family: Bacterial small subunit ribosomal RNA
Source: RNAcentral